This 685-nucleotide ribosomal RNA is filed under the name Neostagonospora elegiae. RNAcentral describes it as "LSU rRNA". It matches the Rfam family "Eukaryotic large subunit ribosomal RNA", at positions 181 to 885 of the family's 3401-position model. Lineage: Eukaryota; Fungi; Ascomycota; Dothideomycetes; Pleosporales; Phaeosphaeriaceae. The record is from RNAcentral.
CCAAGUUCUUUGGAACAGGACGUCACAGAGGGUGAGAAUCCCGUACGUGGUCGCUAGCCUUCGCCGUGUAAAGCCCCUUCGACGAGUCGAGUUGUUUGGGAAUGCAGCUCUAAAUGGGAGGUAAAUUUCUUCUAAAGCUAAAUACUGGCCAGAGACCGAUAGCGCACAAGUAGAGUGAUCGAAAGAUGAAAAGCACUUUGGAAAGAGAGUCAAAUAGCACGUGAAAUUGUUGAAAGGGAAGCGCUUGCAGCCAGACUUGCCUGUAGUUGCUUAUCCGGACUUUUGUCCGGUGCACUCUUCUGCGGGCAGGCCAGCAUCAGUUUGGGCGGUUGGAUAAAGGUCUCUAUCACGUACCUCCUUUCGGGGAGGCCUUAUAGGGGAGACGUCAUGCAACCAGCCUGGACUGAGGUCCGCGCAUCUGCUAGGAUGCUGGCGUAAUGGCUGUAAGCGGCCCGUCUUGAAACACGGACCAAGGAGUCUAACAUCUAUGCGAGUGUUUGGGUGUCAAGCCCAGACGCGUAAUGAAAGUGAACGGAGGUGGGAACCUUUUAGGUGCACCAUCGACCGAUCCUGAUGUCUUCGGAAGGAUUUGAGUAAGAGCAUGGCUGUUGGGACCCGAAAGAUGGUGAACUAUGCUUGAAUAGGGUGAAGCCAGAGGAAACUCUGGUGGAGGCUCGCAGCGGUU